UACAGAGGUCCCAAGCGUUGUUCGGAUUCACUGGGCGUAAAGGGCGCGUAGGCGGGCUGCCGCGUCCGGGGUGAAAUCCCACGGCUCAACCGUGGAACUGCCCCGGAUACGGGCGGCCUCGAGGGGGGUAGGGGCAUCUGGAACUGUGAGUGGAGCGGUGAAAUGCGUUGAUAUUCACAGGAACUCCGGUGGCGAAGGCGAGGUGCUGGACCCCUCCUGACGCUGAGGCGCGAAAGCCAGGGGAGCAAACGGG
RNAcentral lists this ribosomal RNA (253 nucleotides) under uncultured bacterium. RNAcentral describes it as "partial 16S ribosomal RNA". It matches the Rfam family "Bacterial small subunit ribosomal RNA", at positions 524 to 776 of the family's 1533-position model. The record is from RNAcentral.